RNAcentral lists this unclassified non-coding RNA (704 nucleotides) under Entelexis apis. Its description in RNAcentral is "Starmerella apis sequence contains 18S rRNA gene, ITS1, 5.8S rRNA gene, ITS2, 28S rRNA gene". The stretch from base 376 to 704 matches the Rfam family "Eukaryotic large subunit ribosomal RNA", at positions 1 to 356 of the family's 3401-position model. The record is from RNAcentral. Lineage: Eukaryota; Fungi; Ascomycota; Dipodascomycetes; Dipodascales; Trichomonascaceae.
UCGUAACAAGGUUUCCGUAGGUGAACCUGCGGAAGGAUCAUUUUUGAGAUAUUUGAUACACUGUGACUGGACGAUAUUCUUCCGGGCCGGUUAUAGAGGCCCGGGCUUAUAGACAAACAUUCUAGAAAUCUGAAACAACCAAAACAAAACUUUCAACAACGGAUCUCUUGGUUCUCGCAUCGAUGAAGAACGCAGCAAAGCGCGAUAGGUAAUGCGAAUUGCAGACGUGAGUCAUUGAAUCUUUGAACGCACAUUGCGCCAGUCCUCUGGCAUACUGCGUUGAGCGUCGGCCUUCCUCCACAGGUUCUGCUGUUUGCAACAGUGAAAGGCAUGGAACGGCACCCGUUAACCGACCGGUGCACAAGUACCUAACUUCGACCUCAGCGUAGUAAGAUCACCCGCUGAACUUAAGCAUAUCAAUAAGCGGAGGAAAAGAAACCAACAGGGAUUGCCCUAGUAAUGGCGAAUGAACAGGCAAAAGCUCAGAUUUGAAACCCUCGGGAUUGUAAUCUGGAGACGGCGAUCUGGCAUGCUGAGCAAGUCUUCUGGAAUGGAGCGCCAUGGAGGGUGACAGCCCCGUAGCAGCAGCCACAGUAGAUCGGCGCCGAAGAGUCGAGUUGUUUGGGAAUGCAGCUCUAAGUGGGUGGUAUGCUCCAUCUAAGGCUAAAUAUUGGCGAGAGACCGAUAGCGAACAAGUACUGUGA